Molecule: non-coding RNA, 45 nt
Organism: Schistosoma rodhaini
Lineage: Eukaryota; Metazoa; Platyhelminthes; Trematoda; Strigeidida; Schistosomatidae
Source: Rfam
AUCCAACUGGCGAGUCCCAAACAGGAUGAAAUACGCGUCUUGGAU